This 706-nucleotide ribosomal RNA is filed under the name Salmonella enterica subsp. enterica serovar Potsdam. RNAcentral describes it as "partial 23S ribosomal RNA". It matches the Rfam family "Bacterial large subunit ribosomal RNA", at positions 486 to 1191 of the family's 2925-position model. The record is from RNAcentral. Lineage: Bacteria; Pseudomonadati; Pseudomonadota; Gammaproteobacteria; Enterobacterales; Enterobacteriaceae.
GAUAGUGAACCAGUACCGUGAGGGAAAGGCGAAAAGAACCCCGGCGAGGGGAGUGAAAAAGAACCUGAAACCGUGUACGUACAAGCAGUGGGAGCACAGGUUUACCUGUGUGACUGCGUACCUUUUGUAUAAUGGGUCAGCGACUUAUAUUCUGUAGCAAGGUUAACCGAAUAGGGGAGCCGUAGGGAAACCGAGUCUUAACCGGGCGUUAAGUUGCAGGGUAUAGACCCGAAACCCGGUGAUCUAGCCAUGGGCAGGUUGAAGGUUGGGUAACACUAACUGGAGGACCGAACCGACUAAUGUUGAAAAAUUAGCGGAUGACCUGUGGCUGGGGGUGAAAGGCCAAUCAAACCGGGAGAUAGCUGGUUCUCCCCGAAAGCUAUUUAGGUAGCGCCUCGUGAAUUCAUCUCCGGGGGUAGAGCACUGUUUCGGCUAGGGGGCCAUCCCGGCUUACCAACCCGAUGCAAACUGCGAAUACCGGAGAAUGUUAUCACGGGAGACACACGGCGGGUGCUAACGUCCGUCGUGAAGAGGGAAACAACCCAGACCGCCAGCUAAGGUCCCAAAGUCAUGGUUAAGUGGGAAACGAUGUGGGAAGGCCCAGACAGCCAGGAUGUUGGCUUAGAAGCAGCCAUCAUUUAAAGAAAGCGUAAUAGCUCACUGGUCGAGUCGGCCUGCGCGGAAGAUGUAACGGGGCUAAACCAUG